Molecule: long non-coding RNA, 210 nt
Filed under: Mytilus galloprovincialis (Mediterranean mussel)
Lineage: Eukaryota; Metazoa; Mollusca; Bivalvia; Mytilida; Mytilidae
Source: RNAcentral
GCGGGUAGAUGUACACAUGAUUGUCAAUAAAUAUGCAUUUCCAGUCUUGGUCUUUGGUAAAGGUCCAACACAGUCAAUUAGAACUCUGCUGAAAGGUUCGUCAAAGGCUGGAAUAGGCAGAAGUGGUGCUGGUGGUAUUUUCUGGUUAGGUUUACCAACAACCUGGCAUGUAUGACAUGAUUUGCAGUAUUCUGCAACAUCAUUUCUAAG